CAGAACUAUUACGGAGGCUUCUCCUCCACUCAGAACAGCCUUCUGUGCAGCAACUACACGUAACAGCCUGUAAAUAACAGCUCAGCUGCAGUCUGUAAGUUUCUACCUGUGAUUUCUCUACUUUGUUUCUCUGAGAUCAUCUCUGUUAAACAGAUUUAACCUGUUUAACCUUUAUUUAACCAGGAAGUGAAGGUUAGAAACUCUUUGUGAGAGUGUGUUGAAGUGACACAGGCAGUUUGAACUUCAUGUCAACAUGAAUCCAUCCUGUAGGACACAGUGGAGGCUCUUCAGGCUCUCUGCUCCACCCUGGUGUUCAGUCCUGAAGGUUGGAGCACAGGGACAGUUCAGGCUCCAGCAGUCAGCUGACAUUUGAUCAGGGCAACAAACUGCUCCACCAGGAGGAGGCGCUGCAGGACGUGUCAGGAAAAUACAGGCUGGAGGUGAAGCUGCUUCAGUGCAGCUCAGUGACAGCAUCAUGUGACCAGGUCCUGGUUGGUGUCAAACAGGCUUUCUUUGUUUCUUUGUACUUAUAAAACGCUAAAGAAGCAUUUUCACAUGUAAUCAAUGUGUUUUCAUAGACAAUAUUAGAGCUGACAGUAAGAACUGCACACAGUACAAUUCUGUUUACACUAAAUUAAAAAUCAAUAAAGUCACUUUGUGUCUACAUGAGAAUCAGAGAAACUUUCUUCAUCCCAGAGGGAAACUGAGCUGUCGGAGCAGCAAACACACAACAAACAUCAGGCACUGAUAGAAAAUGAGAAACACAGAUAUUGAUGAUAAAUAUUAAGAUAAAUAGAUAAAUAUAGAGAUAUAAAUAUAAAAGUGUCACGGUGUAGAAAAGUGACAGCAGGCUGCACUGAGCUGUGAUUGGUUCUGUUUGUUUCCCAGAUUUGUGCACCUACAACAUCCCAACACCUGCUGAUGUCCCCACUCUCAGUGUGAAAGUCCACACAGAGGUGGAGCCCACAGGUGGAUCUGCCAGAGCCAGACUGACUGUGGAAAUCCAUCCCUGUAAGUAUGUGACAGGUUAGAGGAGAGUCUGUACCAGCGUGGAGUCACUGUGGGUGAUGAAGAGCAUGUGUGCACACACUGUUCAAACACAGCUACAGUGGGAAGGAGAAAACUACAAACAUGGUGGUCCUGGAUGUUCCCCACAGUGUGAGUCAUUAGACUCUACCAACACGUCAUGUGAUCACUGUGAUGAUGUCAUCUCCUCACAGCUCAAACGUGGCCUCCUGGUGAGUCGUGUUGAACCAAAGGAAGAUCCUGUUCUGGUGUCCUUAGAGGAGGUCAGAGACGUCCACAGUGGGGACACCAGAUGAUGAUCUUUGGUACAAACUGUGUCUGCGAUUGUUUCUGUCUCGUCCAGUUAUCAAAGGACACACCAUCAACCACAGAGA
Oreochromis niloticus (Nile tilapia) is the source of this 1400-nucleotide long non-coding RNA. RefSeq lists it as uncharacterized. The record is from RefSeq and is a predicted model, not a curated record. The transcript is spliced from 2 exons. Lineage: Eukaryota; Metazoa; Chordata; Actinopteri; Cichliformes; Cichlidae.